AAGAAACUGAAGCUGAGAUGCUGAGUGAUUUGUCCAAAGUCUCACAACUAAUGAGUAUCUGAGGCAUGAUUUGAACUCAGGAAAUCCUUCACCACCAAUAGGAGAACCAGUAGCCACAUAUCCUUCCCAAGAAGAGUGCUUAGUGGUAAGCCUAGAUGGAUACCUCCAUGGAAGACAGCCACUACUGGAGGGAGAAGAAAGGAGUGGAGAGUAGAAGGGAGUGGAAAGGAUGAGUUCCCAGGGUCAUCAUGUUCUCUGCCCGCUUCAUGCAAAGGACUUCAUUUUCGCCGAGGAAGCAGUACAAUGGGUACUUAAAGCUCUCUUCCUAGCCAAGCCUGCUAUCCAGAAAGCAAGAGCCAAAGGGAUGAUGUUUCUGUCUUGGAAUUAAGCUCUCGUCUUCUCUGCCUGCAGC
Molecule: long non-coding RNA, 412 nt
Organism: Phascolarctos cinereus (koala)
Lineage: Eukaryota; Metazoa; Chordata; Mammalia; Diprotodontia; Phascolarctidae
Source: Ensembl